GUGAAGCUGUGCAGCGGGCGUGGGGGUGACUAUUCAAGUGGCAGCAAAGAAGAAAGGCGCUGUGUAGAGAUCCGGAGCUUUGGCACAGAGGCAAAGCCGAGGCUCUGAUACCAAGUUGAUGCAGCACCAGUGCGGGGAAAGAGGAGAAGAAGGAAGAACAAGAGAAGGAGAAGGAAGAAGAGGUUGUAGAGACGCAGGAAGAAUAGAGGAGGAGAGGAGAAGAAGAGAAGAAAGAACGUAGGGGAAAGAAAAUUCCAAAUCACUUCAUUAAAACCUAAUCAUGAAAAUAGUUC
This 293-nucleotide long non-coding RNA is filed under the name Phoenix dactylifera (date palm). RNAcentral's name for it is "long non-coding RNA (PDAC_LNC008020)". Lineage: Eukaryota; Viridiplantae; Streptophyta; Magnoliopsida; Arecales; Arecaceae. The record is from RNAcentral.